AGCACUAGCCCUACACUCCCAUUUGCAGAGUUGUUUUGUCUCUCCAUUUGCUGGAAAAAAGUUAGAAACUUUGGACUUAAGUGAUGGGAGAUGUUUGUAGGUAUGCAGUUGUUACAGGAGCAAACAAGGGAAUUGGCUUCGAGACUGUCAAACAGCUCGCGAAAUCAGGCGUAACGGUUAUCUUAACAGCCAGAAAUGAAAAGGGAGGAAUGGAAGCAACAUCCUUGCUGAAUGAACAAGGACUUUCGAACGUUGUGUUUCAUCAGCUUGAUGUUCAAGAUGCUAAAAGCAUCGAGUCCUUAGCGAAGUUCAUACAAACACAAUAUGGGAGGCUUGAUAUUCUGGUAAAUAAUGCUGGAGCUUCUGGAGUUGUUGUUGAUGAAGAUGUCCUAAGGGCCUUGAAUGUAGAUCCGGUAGAUUGGUUAGCAGGGAAAGCUGUCAACGUCAUUCAAGUUGCGAUGAAAACAACUUAUGAGAGUGCCAAAUUAUGCUUGGACACUAAUUACUAUGGCGUUAAGAACGUUACUGAAGCUCUUCUUCCGUUGCUGCAAAAUUCUCCUUCAGCAAGAAUUGUUAAUGUUUCCUCCCUUAGAAGUGAGUUAAAGCGAGUACCAAACGAGGAGAGGAGAAAGGAGCUAGGAGAUGUUGAAAACCUGACAGAAGAUAAACUCGACAAGAUUCUGCAGAAUUUUUUGCAUGAUCUGAAACAAGAUGCUCUCGAGGUGAACGGUUGGCAAAUGAUGCUACCAGCAUAUAGCAUAUCAAAAGUCUCACUCAAUGCUUACACUCGAAUUCUUGCUAGAAAGUACCCGAAAAUGUGUAUCAAUUGUGUCCAUCCUGGAUACGUUAACACGGAUAUAAACUGGCAUACAGGAACAAUGCCUGUCGAAGAAGGAGCUGAAGGAUCUGUCAUGCUAGCUCUUUUGCCUGAUGGAGGACCUACUGGUUGCUACUUUGAUCGUACAGUAGUUGACGAGUUUUAGAUACAACAAUAACUAUGCCUCAGUCCCAAACAAGUUGGGGUCAGUCGUGAUGUUUUAGAUAUAACAAUAAGUACGCCUCAGUCCCAAACAAGUUGGGGUCAGUCGUGAUGUUUUAGAUAUAACAAUAAGUACGCCUCAGUCCCAAACAAGUUGGGGUCAGUCGCGAUGUUUUAGAUCAAGUCGUGAAAUAAGACUAUUUGUUUCAGUGUCUCUUGGAAUUUGGUUGAACUUCUGAGCUUGAUUGAUGUUCUAGUGGUUGAAUUAGUAAUUGAAACAAUGAGGGAAGCAAAGGAUAAUAUAAUCAAGUAAUGUGUUGUAUCGAAUCGUACUUGAUGUUUU
This 1322-nucleotide unclassified non-coding RNA is filed under the name Hevea brasiliensis (rubber tree). Lineage: Eukaryota; Viridiplantae; Streptophyta; Magnoliopsida; Malpighiales; Euphorbiaceae. The record is from RNAcentral.